GCAGGAAGCAUGGAGGGAGGGCAUAUUGGGACAAUAAUAGCAAAGCAGAUUGGGUGAGACACCUUGAAAAAGGGAAAGAAAGAAGGGGAGAGAUGUCUGGAUGGAGGAAGAGAAUGAGAAUGGAGGAAAAACAAGACCUUUGCUUCUUUCAGUGCACAGAAUGCACCUGCCCUGGGGAUAAAUCAUGGCUGAGGACAGUGGCGUAGCCAGCUUCUAAGAGGAGGGGCAGCAAACAUAAAAAAGAUGGGGAAAAUGAGGCACAGAGACUCUGAACGACCUGCUUAAGGUCAUACAAGAAACCUGUUGCAGAGUCAAGAACAGAACCAAGAUCUCCUGACAUUCAGUCUUUCUUCUUUAACGAGCACACAACCCAAAAUAUAAAAUUAAAUGUGAUUAAAUGCUGCA
Chrysemys picta bellii (western painted turtle) is the source of this 405-nucleotide non-coding RNA. NCBI's taxonomy places the organism in Eukaryota, Metazoa, Chordata, Testudines, Emydidae. The record is from RefSeq and is a predicted model, not a curated record.